GAAGGACGGAGGAUAGGAGAAGGUGAGAAGAUAAAUUGAUGCUUCUUUCCCUCAACAAUUUGUCAGAGGAGCAUUUCCUGUUCUUUAGUUUUCUAAAGCAACAGGUUGUUG
Non-coding RNA from Caenorhabditis elegans, 111 nucleotides. NCBI's taxonomy places the organism in Eukaryota, Metazoa, Nematoda, Chromadorea, Rhabditida, Rhabditidae. The record is from Ensembl.